This 450-nucleotide ribosomal RNA is filed under the name Veillonella parvula. RNAcentral describes it as "bacterial SSU rRNA". It matches the Rfam family "Bacterial small subunit ribosomal RNA", at positions 28 to 456 of the family's 1533-position model. The record is from RNAcentral. Lineage: Bacteria; Bacillati; Bacillota; Negativicutes; Veillonellales; Veillonellaceae.
GACGAACGCUGGCGGCGUGCUUAACACAUGCAAGUCGAACGAAGAGCGAUGGAAGCUUGCUUCUAUCAAUCUUAGUGGCGAACGGGUGAGUAACGCGUAAUCAACCUCCCUUCAGAGGGGGACAACAGUUGGAAACGACUGCUAAUACCGCAUACGAUCUAACCUCGGCAUCGAGGAUAGAUGAAAGGUGGCCUCUACAUGUAAGCUAUCACUGAAGGAGGGGAUUGCGUCUGAUUAGCUAGUUGGAGGGGUAACGGCCCACCAAGGCGAUGAUCAGUAGCCGGUCUGAGAGGAUGAACGGCCACAUUGGGACUGAGACACGGCCCAGACUCCUACGGGAGGCAGCAGUGGGGAAUCUUCCGCAAUGGACGAAAGUCUGACGGAGCAACGCCGCGUGAGUGAUGACGGCCUUCGGGUCCUAAAGCUCUGUUAAUCGGGACGAAAGGCCAU